GGGGGGGGGGCAAGCGUUGUUCGGAAUUACUGGGGCGUAAAGGGCGCGCAGGCGGCCCCGGCCAGUCCUACGUGAAAUCCCACAGCUCAACUGUGGAACUGCGUGGGAUACUGCCAGGCUUGAGUCCGGGAGAGGAGAGUGGAAUUCCCAGUGUAGCGGUGAAAUGCGUAGAUAUUGGGAGGAACACCGGUGGCGAAGGCGGCUCUCUGGACCGGCACUGACGCUGAGGCGCGAAAGCUAGGGGAGCAAACGGGAUUAGAUACCCCGGUAGUCCUAGCCCUAAACGAUGAGCACUUUGUGUGGCGGGUAUCGACCCCUGCCGUGCAGAAGCUAACGCAUUAAGUGCUCCGCCUGGGGAGUACGGUCGCAAGGCUG
RNAcentral lists this ribosomal RNA (375 nucleotides) under uncultured organism. RNAcentral describes it as "partial 16S ribosomal RNA". It matches the Rfam family "Bacterial small subunit ribosomal RNA", at positions 525 to 896 of the family's 1533-position model. The record is from RNAcentral.